UCUCCGUAGGUGAACCUGCGGAGGGAUCAUUACUGAGUGAGGGCUUCGGUCCGACCUCCAACCCUUUGUGAACCAAACUUGUUGCUUCGGGGGCGACCCUGCCGCUUCGGCGGUGCGGCGCCCCCGGGGUCAAUCAAACACUGCAUUCUCUGCGUCGGAGUAUUAGUAAAUCUAAUCAAAACUUUCAACAACGGAUCUCUUGGUUCUGGCAUCGAUGAAGAACGCAGC
Molecule: unclassified non-coding RNA, 228 nt
Filed under: uncultured fungus
Lineage: Eukaryota; Fungi
Description: sequence contains ITS1, 5.8S rRNA gene
Rfam family: 5.8S ribosomal RNA (bases 180-228)
Source: RNAcentral